GGAUUGAAGGCUGAAAUUCGCCUUCAUGAAGUCGGAAUUGCUAGUAAUGGCAGGUCAGCAUACUGCCGUGAAUACGUUCCCGGGCCUUGUACACACCGCCCGUCACACCAUGAGAGUUGGAGAUACCCGAAGCCUAUGAGCUAACUUUUAGAGGCAGUAGUCGAAGGUAGAAUCAAUGAUUGGGGUGAAGUCGUAACAAGGUAGC
This 205-nucleotide ribosomal RNA is filed under the name uncultured bacterium. RNAcentral describes it as "partial 16S ribosomal RNA". It matches the Rfam family "Bacterial small subunit ribosomal RNA", at positions 1295 to 1500 of the family's 1533-position model. The record is from RNAcentral.